Molecule: ribosomal RNA, 396 nt
Filed under: uncultured bacterium
Lineage: Bacteria
Description: bacterial SSU rRNA
Rfam family: Bacterial small subunit ribosomal RNA
Source: RNAcentral
AAUUUUCGGCAAUGGGGGCAACCCUGACCGAGCAACGCCGCGUGGAGGAUGACGGCCUUCGGGUUGUAAACUCCUUUUGGGGGGGAAGACAUCGACGGUACCCCCCGAAUCAGGCUCGGCUAACUCUGUGCCAGCAGCCGCGGUAAGACAGAGGAGCCAAGCGUUGUCCGGAUUGACUGGGCGUAAAGCGCACGCAGGUGGUUGCGCAAGUGCCGUGUGAAAGCCGGCGGCUUAACUGCCGGAGGCCAUGGCAGACUGCGUCACUCGAGGCCGAGAGAGGUCCGUGGAAUUGCCGGUGUAGUGGUGAAAUGCGUAGAGAUCGGCAGGAACACCCAAGGAGAAAUCAGCGGACUGGCUCGGUACUGACACUGAGGUGCGAAAGCGUGGGGAGCGAAC